AAAUUAAAAAAAGAGUACAAAGUUUUUCUUUUUAAAAUUUUAAUUUUUUUUUUUUUUUUUUUUUUUU
Molecule: non-coding RNA, 67 nt
Filed under: Eutreptiella gymnastica
Lineage: Eukaryota; Euglenozoa; Euglenophyceae; Eutreptiales; Eutreptiaceae
Source: RNAcentral